GCGAAUAGCAAGCAUCGGCCCUUGGGACUGGUUCUCCGGCGUCGUGGGUUCUCGGCUCCAGCAUAUCCGGUUGCGGUGGCGGCGCUGGUUCUGGGCUGGGUUUGAAACCGACAGGCGACGGCGGGGACGGCAAGUGUUCUUGGUGCUAGGCGAUCUCAGCCACCACGGCAUGUGUUCUCGGUGCCAGAUUUGUUCUAUUUUUAGCAUUUUAAAAUACCCCUUUGACCGACAAGAGCUGUUUCAGAAUAGUGUUGAAGAACUUCCAACACUCAUAUAAAUAUGCAUUGAUUGAAUUGAGUGAUAUAUUAGAGUAACAAUAAGUUUCAA
Molecule: long non-coding RNA, 327 nt
Organism: Humulus lupulus (European hop)
Lineage: Eukaryota; Viridiplantae; Streptophyta; Magnoliopsida; Rosales; Cannabaceae
Exons: 3
Source: RefSeq, a predicted model, not a curated record